CGGCCACAGCCCAAAACUCAAGGGACUUGGCGGUGCUUUAUACCCCUCUAGAGGAGCCUGUUCUAUAAUCGAUAAACCCCGAUAAACCUCACCAAUCCUUGCUAAUACAGUCUAUAUACCGCCAUCUUCAGCAAACCCUAAAAAGGAACAAAAGUAAGCACAACCACAACACAUAAAAACGUUAGGUCAAGGUGUAACCUAUGGAAUGGGAAGAAAUGGGCUACAUUUUCUAUCUUAAGAA
RNAcentral lists this ribosomal RNA (241 nucleotides) under Beatragus hunteri. RNAcentral describes it as "partial 12S ribosomal RNA". The record is from RNAcentral. Lineage: Eukaryota; Metazoa; Chordata; Mammalia; Artiodactyla; Bovidae.